AUGGUUUAUAGUAUUUCUUCUUAUGAAGAAAGAAAGAGCUGCUGUAGAAAAGGAGACGGAGCAAUUCGGUGCUCGAGCUCAGCUAGUCCCGAAAUCGCUGGCAUCCGUAGCUGCGUUGGGAUCGUAACAAUUCGUGCUGGCAUGUCAGAACGUUGCGGGCAAAUAAUGAGGAUACGGCUGCUAUACGGUACGAAACAGUGCGACCGGUGGGCCAAUUCAGUAGGGACGGAUGCGACUGAAUCAUGCGGGCCUUUCUGUGCCGUGGACCAGGAUGCACGCGAAAACCCGAGUCGUCGUUUUCCUUUGCGCCCGCAUGCUUUGACGCGAGCUAUGCAGCAGAUCCCGGAUGGCUUCAGCAAGGAGAGUCGGAGACAUCGGCGGUCGCCUGGUGCACAACUGCUCUGCCCGACAAGCUGGCUGGGCUGUGAAGGAGGUGGCAUGGCGGUCCACAGGAGGUUGCUCGUGCACGUGCACGAGGUUGAGGCCGCCGGAUACGGUUUCAGGGAGUAG
This 510-nucleotide ribosomal RNA is filed under the name Triticum aestivum (bread wheat). RNAcentral's name for it is "partial small subunit ribosomal RNA". The record is from RNAcentral. Lineage: Eukaryota; Viridiplantae; Streptophyta; Magnoliopsida; Poales; Poaceae.